Molecule: long non-coding RNA, 218 nt
Filed under: Hordeum vulgare
Lineage: Eukaryota; Viridiplantae; Streptophyta; Magnoliopsida; Poales; Poaceae
Description: long non-coding RNA (HVUL_LNC010450)
Source: RNAcentral
GGCUUCACCUGAAUAAGAAGAAUAAGCAUGCCUUGAUGUUAGUUUUCUCUCUUUGUAAGUUUCAGUAUGAUCUAAUAGCGAAUAAAGUACAGAGCAAUUGACAGCUGGAAACAAGCUCUCACCAGGAACUGUAAUACCCCUGCUACCCACUUUGAUUAGCCAACAAGAAACUAUGAUCUACAUACAUAUGAAUUCAUCUGUUGCAAAAUUGCUUGGGA